UAGGCUGACAGCAAGAUUCCCGACGCCCAGGCGGCUCACGAAAAGACCAUCACCGGUCUGAUGGCGGCGCUAGGUGGCGCGAACCUGAUUUACGGACUGG
Thermacetogenium phaeum DSM 12270 is the source of this 100-nucleotide regulatory RNA element. It matches the Rfam family "Pyrrolysine insertion sequence mttB". NCBI's taxonomy places the organism in Bacteria, Bacillati, Bacillota, Clostridia, Thermoanaerobacterales, Thermoanaerobacteraceae. The record is from Rfam.